UUAGAGUUUGAUCCUGGCUCAGGAUGAACGCUAGCGGCAGGCCUAAUACAUGCAAGUCGAGGGGUAUAGUAGCAAUACUAGAGACCGGCGCACGGGUGCGUAACGCGUAUGAAAGGUGUCCGAAUCACUGGGAUACCCCCCGGAAACGGGGAUUAAUACCGGAUGGUCCAUUUUUGAGGCAUCUCUAGAUUGGUAAAGCUCAGGCGGAUUCGGGUCCUCAUGCGUAUGAUUAGCUAGUUGGCGGGGUAACGGCCCACCAAGGCGACGAUCAUUAGGGGUCCUGAGAGGGAGGUCCCCCACACUGGUACUGAGACACGGGCCACACUCCUACGGGAGGCAGCAGUAGGGAAUAUUGGGCAAUGGGCGCAAGCCUGACCCAGCCAUGCCGCGUGCAGGAAGAAGGCCCUCUGGGUUGUAAACUGCUUUUGGACGGGGACAAAACGGCAAUGCGUUGCAAAUUGAGUGUACCGUCAGAAUAAGCACCGGCUAACUCCGUGCCAGCAGCCGCGGUAAUACGGAGGGUGCAAGCGUUGUCCGGAUUUAUUGGGUUUAAAGGGGUGCGUACGCGGCCUUAUAAGUCAGUGGUGAAA
RNAcentral lists this ribosomal RNA (590 nucleotides) under uncultured bacterium. RNAcentral's name for it is "bacterial SSU rRNA". It matches the Rfam family "Bacterial small subunit ribosomal RNA", at positions 1 to 599 of the family's 1533-position model. The record is from RNAcentral.